UUUAAGUCAGGUCAGGGAGCAUGGAUCAUCUGUGAGCAUGUCUACAAGGAGGACAAAGCGGGUAGUACUAUGGGGUCUCUUGCAUGUACCAUGCACACUAUAGUCUAUGUGAAUGCUGCUCCCCGGAAUCAUGAAGAUUUUUUUCAGAUACCAAUUUUAUAAUGAGUGAGAAUGAUAACGAGGGACAGAACUACCAGGGGAUAGUUGUCAAUGUCUAGAAGCCUUUGUGAUUGUCAA
This 237-nucleotide long non-coding RNA is filed under the name Homo sapiens (human). RNAcentral describes it as "long non-coding RNA NONHSAT155462.1". Lineage: Eukaryota; Metazoa; Chordata; Mammalia; Primates; Hominidae. The record is from RNAcentral.